This is a long non-coding RNA of Alosa sapidissima (American shad), 687 nucleotides long. RefSeq lists it as uncharacterized. The transcript has 3 exons. The record is from RefSeq and is a predicted model, not a curated record. NCBI's taxonomy places the organism in Eukaryota, Metazoa, Chordata, Actinopteri, Clupeiformes, Clupeidae.
GCGCUUCUUAAUGCACAGCCACUUCUCAUGUCACGGACCGCGCAGUAGCCAGCCUGUUCAUUUAGGUUUACAAAUCACUCUGCACAUCAAGCUCACAUCAAGCUCGUGUGUGGUGAGGGUCCUGGUACAGAAUCCCGAAUGCCGAGCGUCACCCAGAUGGGUGCUACACAUGAUGCCUGAGUUCAAAACAACGUUAAGACUGACAGGGACCACAAACAAAGAUGACUGUCCAUUGUCCACUGAUUUGCAUGCCCAGUGGUGAGAACCUUCACCACCCCCAUCAGGACUCCGGCUGUAAGUGCAAGUGUCUCCUUUCAAUGCAACAUGCUCAGUUGAUUGGAGAGAUGCAGCCAUAACACACGCAUGAAGAAGCCCGCUUUGCAACAAAGGAUCUGUGCAGUACUGUGGGCAGAUCUGUGGUGGGAUUAGACUUGUAAAGGCUCUUCUGAGGCUCAGAUGAGAAGUAUUGCUGGACACAGCAAAGGGUCUGGCCAUGGCAGAAAGAGUGACAAAAAUGGGACAAACAUCUUUACAGAAAUUAUGAUGUGUACAGCAAUGUAUGUGACACCCAAGAUAACACAAUUUUGUUUUGCCUGGACAAUAAAUUUGCCUUAUAGGGAACUGGGUGUGGCCAGUUCUGAAGGUUUCUGAUUGUGGUAUAAAAAAACCUAUCUUUAUGCAUCUAAA